Molecule: transfer RNA, 61 nt
Filed under: Heterocephalus glaber (naked mole-rat)
Lineage: Eukaryota; Metazoa; Chordata; Mammalia; Rodentia; Bathyergidae
Rfam family: tRNA
About the family: Transfer RNA (tRNA) molecules are approximately 80 nucleotides in length. Their secondary structure includes four short double-helical elements and three loops (D, anti-codon, and T loops).
Source: Rfam by way of RNAcentral
UGUAGCUCAGUGGUAGAGUACGUGCCUAGUAUGCAUUAGGCCCUGGGUUUGACCCCCAGCA